UGUUAAGUUUUGUAAAAUUGAAUUUUAUAUUAUUACGUUCUGGUUUUAAUUAUACUGAAAUAAAAAUUUUAAAAAUUUAUUUUGGUAAUAUAUAAUAAAACUUUGGUCACUCUGAUUAAGAAAAAUUCUUCAAAAGAGCAACUACAGCAGAUAAGCAAUUUUUGCGAACACCAUCGUUGCCGUAUCGAUUUACGUGAUUCUAUAUUUCGCCAAUCUCGCUUUUAUGCGCAGACCUUACAAGCAGAAGUAAAAAACUACGACGUACGUCGUUUUACUCGAAUUAUUUUAUUGAGUUUAAACGACAACAUACUGUUUGGCGUAAGAUCAUCUUACUACAAUCUUUAUCGAAACGAUAUGAUGAAUUUGAUAAAACAUUGUCAUGGUAGCAAGUAUUACAUAAGCGCCAUGGAAGGAGUUUUUGAAUGGCCUGGAGAUCAAGACACUAUUUUAAACUUAGAGAUGUUUGAUGAUAGAGGGAUUUAAAUGCGUAUUUAAUAAGAUUUACUAAAUAAUUCGAGGUACAAUAAAGCACUCAUUCGAAUUAACGAACUAUUUCUUUUAACUUAUAUUAGCGCAUAACCUAAUUGUUCCACUUAAAAUAAAUUAAAAUGAUAAUAAUAAAUAAUUUUAAGUAAAAAUAUACAGACCACUGUAAAAAAUCCGGAGUGAAUUGGGAGUUUUUUUUAGC
Microplitis demolitor is the source of this 688-nucleotide long non-coding RNA. RefSeq lists it as uncharacterized. NCBI's taxonomy places the organism in Eukaryota, Metazoa, Arthropoda, Insecta, Hymenoptera, Braconidae. The record is from RefSeq and is a predicted model, not a curated record. The transcript has 3 exons.